UAACAAAUAACGCGGAGGCCCGGGAGGA
Molecule: small RNA, 28 nt
Filed under: Bombyx mori (domestic silkworm)
Lineage: Eukaryota; Metazoa; Arthropoda; Insecta; Lepidoptera; Bombycidae
Description: ovarian small RNA-18530
Source: RNAcentral